CGACGACUUACACCCUUCCUAUUGCCCCUGUAAGAGAGGGCUGUUCCCCCCCCUCCUCCCCCACCACACACACACACAUACACUCAAGUCCCGUCGCUGUCCUUUUUCUUGCACCGCGAAGACGGGCAAGGCUACCAUACGCGCAUAUAUACACGAACAUACAUACGCACGCAUAAGCAGAUGCGGUACUUCGUCGUGGCGCACGAAUUUCAGGCGGAGGAGGACGUGGAAUUGUCCGUCUUCAAAGACGAGAUACUCUGUGCCACGGAGGGCAUCGCUCAGGAUGGCUGGAUAAAGGUCGAAGUAACCAUGGACGCGCGCCGCCGUGGCUUCGUGCCUAUUUCGUACCUCCGCGAAAUCUCUGCCGCGGAGGCAUCAGCUUCGAUGCCGGCACCCGCCUCCUCCGCACCGCCAUCGGCAGGGGAGUCAACGUCCCCCAUGCGCACACCGCAACGCGCUGGAGGAGAGUCUCCAGCGAGGGCAGCUCUUGCCAACACGACAAUAUCCACGUCACUGAACCUGGGAAACUGCAGUGACGUUGUGAAGAAGGGUUCCAGCCCGUCUCUGCAGCCGAUGCGCAGCCCUGAGACAGCCGCUGCGCACGCCGCCCCGACUAGCAGCAGCAUCCAUUUGACCCCCGCUCAGCAAGCUGCCGGUCCGGUCAACCGCCACCUGCUCGAGAACCCCAACGCUGUUGUCGACGCCUUCAUGAAGAAUGAGGUGUACUUCAACCAGCUAAUGCAGCGGCGCGCCUCGGCACUGGCGCAGAUGCAGUCGGGCUUGGAGGAGGCCAUGACAGAGGUUGCGGCGUGCAAGGACCGCAGCGCCGUGCUCACACGAAAGCUGCACGACCUGGAUGGGGUGGUGGAGCGCGAGCGUCAGCGCUGGAUGGACCGGGUGGAGGAGGAAAAGGCGCAUGUGAGCCGCUCAGCCCCCUACAGCGCGCCGUUGGCUGUUCCGGUCAGCUGCGGCACCACACCGGUUCGCUCGCCUAUCAUUGGCCCACGUAGCGGGCUGGGGCGUAGUGUGCUGGACGACGACAGUCCGCGCCAGCUCAGAGCAUAGAAGAGGUGCGAGAGAGGUGGCGCUGUGGUGUUGUGCGCUGCAUUUGAUUCACAUGCACACACACACACACACAGUGCAGGCGCUCACGGGAAGACGAGAGGCGCGUCCACGCCCGUGUGCCGCACGUGCAGCUUUGCAGUGUGCGCAUUGCUAACUGUCUCAGUGGGCCUGCUGCUCCCUGCACGUGCUUGAUUUCCCCACACCGGGUUGACGCCUCAUCAACGUCCAUGGGUGUGUCAUUGGAGUGUGAGCGUGUGCAUUCGUAGAGGUCAUAGAUGCCGGUGAAUGAACCCGCUCUUCUCUGUGCCUCCAUCUCUCUCUCCCUGCGUGAGUCUGUGUGCGUGUGUAGAGAGAGGGAGUGCACAUCGGAGGCUUCUUUGAUGUGUAUCUGUCCUUCACUUCCUCUUUUCCGUUUUCCUUGCUUCUGUUGGCCGCGCCUCCCUCGCCUUCCACAGGGCCUUUGCCCUUAGAUGAGAUUCGCUCUCGACAUAUAUCGCCUUCUUCUCUCACUCCAUCUUUGGCCACCAACCAUCUACCACCACCACCACCACCACCACCGUAAAGGGACAGCUGGAGCUAAGCAGCACGGCAAGCAGCAAGGACAGCUCAAACCCUUGUUCUAAAUAAAGGAGGAGAGGGCAUAGAGAAAGGUGCUUGACCGGCUUGUGUGUACGUUGGCCGUGGCCGAUACAGGUAUUACGCCGUGCAUAUCUCUUUUCGUUUGGCUGUGUGGCCUGCUCGCUUGUUUGGUGGGUGUGCACAGAUGCUUGCUCCCCCCCCUCCUCCCCAGCAUUGCCGCGUCGCCACUUGUGGUUCGCCCAUCUUGCCAGUCCUCAUUGUUUCUUCCCUCCUUCCCUGCUUCUCUCAUGGUCACCUCACGCUCCCUGUUUUUUUUUUGGUUGUACUUUCAG
RNAcentral lists this unclassified non-coding RNA (1976 nucleotides) under Leishmania donovani. RNAcentral's name for it is "gene:LdHU3.30.3610(CDS-product:SH3_domain_protein -like_protein)". The record is from RNAcentral. Lineage: Eukaryota; Euglenozoa; Kinetoplastea; Trypanosomatida; Trypanosomatidae.